This 154-nucleotide unclassified non-coding RNA is filed under the name uncultured Herpotrichia. RNAcentral's name for it is "sequence contains ITS1". The record is from RNAcentral. Lineage: Eukaryota; Fungi; Ascomycota; Dothideomycetes; Pleosporales; Melanommataceae.
CCGUGGGGCUUCGGCCCCAUUGAGAUAGCACCCUUUGUUUAUGAGUACCCUUGUUUCCUCGGCGGGCUUGCCCGCCAUGAGGACAAUAAAAACCUUUUGUAGUAGCAGUAACUUCAGUUAAUAAUAGAGAAGGGUUUAUAAAAGAUUGUUUAUA